Molecule: long non-coding RNA, 1438 nt
Organism: Bombus terrestris (buff-tailed bumblebee)
Lineage: Eukaryota; Metazoa; Arthropoda; Insecta; Hymenoptera; Apidae
Exons: 2
Source: RefSeq, a predicted model, not a curated record
UAAUCUACUUACUUUAUGUUAUUUGACACGAAUAGAAGUUGGAGACAACGAUACUUCUGCUUUCAUUCAAGCGCGUAGCUGAUAGUCUCUGUUUGCCAAGACGCAUAUAGAUUUUCUCGCACCUCGUUAAAACGCGAAUUAACCAAUAAGAUACGCGAAAACGAAUCUUUUCCUUACUUUUACUUUCGAGUUAAGGAAAUCGACAUUUGGUGAAACUAUAGGGAACUGUUAUCUCCUCUCCGAUUUCGACGAUUUUCAAAUAUAUUAGAAAAAUCAACAUUUUGAAUGGCUUCUUCCUAUAAAUAUAACCGACGGUUGGUUUUAGUUUCCGAGAUACUUGCGAAAAACAAUCGGCAUCACUACAAUGAAUUCUGCCUAUAAUUGUGCGUCCAUAACAGCGUAUGCGUCAUUAUUGGUUGUUGGCCGCGUCAUGGCGCGACGCCUGGAUAAAGUGACAUUUAAUUCAAACCUAUAUAAACUAUACACAAAAGAUAAAAAUUAGAUUUAGGUUAGGCGUUAUUUUAUCCGAUCGCCGCGCCGUGAGGUGGUUGGCAACCAAUAACGAUGAAUACGCUGAAUAUAGGCAGAAUUCACCAUAAUGGUACCGACAGUUUCUUGCGAAUAUCUUGGAAACUAAUAUCGACUAUCGUUUAUAUGCAUAGGAAGUAGUUGUUCAAAAUGUUGAUGUAUGUAACAUACUUCAAAAUCAUCGAAAUUAGGGAAGAGGUGGCUUUUCUGCAGUUCCUUCUGACAUUCCUUUUCUGUUGAUUUAAAUACACUUUAAUGCGAUGUUCGAUAUAAAACAUUCGGAAUGUAGCAACGAAAGUUAAUCAUUUCUGGAGAUAUCGUUGAAUAUCGAUUUUUCUCUGAGAGGAAAUCGGUUGACGACAAUACGAACAGAAUCGGAAAAGUAAACAGCUCUUGAAAGAACGAGGCAUGGUGAAUGAUACGAUACAAUACGAUAGAUACAAUACAAUUCGAAACGAUAUGAUACGAGCCGAUCCGAUUUGAAUCGACGAGGUUGCCAAUAGACAAGUAGGUUAGAAGAAACUGCAAUGCGGAUUUUAAACGAAUCAGAAAUCAGUUACGUGUGUAGUGUAAUAAUGAAAAAAGUAGUCCGGCAUGACAAGAUGCGAUGAUGUUUAUUGAAUAUGUAUUUUUUAUGUAUUCACGUAAAGAUACGUACACAUACAUACAAGUGUAAAGCGAGAAAGAGAAGCAAUAAAUGUAUGUAAGAAUGUUCGAUGUACAUACGUACAUAUAAGCAUUCCUAUAAAUGAAUAUAUAUAUGUGUUUACUAUAAAAAAAGUUGUAUAAUACUGUACUUACAUUUUUUAAGUCCUGGAGAAGGAUUCCUAAUGCGUCUUCAUUAAUUAUGAACAAUGAAAUAAAUAGUUUUCAUAAAACUGUCUUUUUUCGAAUCGCACGAAAAUCUAAC